This 733-nucleotide ribosomal RNA is filed under the name uncultured Enterobacteriaceae bacterium. Its description in RNAcentral is "bacterial SSU rRNA". It matches the Rfam family "Bacterial small subunit ribosomal RNA", at positions 770 to 1502 of the family's 1533-position model. Lineage: Bacteria; Pseudomonadati; Pseudomonadota; Gammaproteobacteria; Enterobacterales; Enterobacteriaceae. The record is from RNAcentral.
AAACAGGAUUAGAUACCCUGGUAGUCCACGCUGUAAACGAUGUCGAUUUGGAGGUUGUUCCCUUGAGGAGUGGCUUCCGGAGCUAACGCGUUAAAUCGACCGCCUGGGGAGUACGGCCGCAAGGUUAAAACUCAAAUGAAUUGACGGGGGCCCGCACAAGCGGUGGAGCAUGUGGUUUAAUUCGAUGCAACGCGAAGAACCUUACCUACUCUUGACAUCCAGAGAAUUUAGCAGAGAUGCUUUAGUGCCUUCGGGAACUCUGAGACAGGUGCUGCAUGGCUGUCGUCAGCUCGUGUUGUGAAAUGUUGGGUUAAGUCCCGCAACGAGCGCAACCCUUAUCCUUUGUUGCCAGCACAUUAUGGUGGGAACUCAAAGGAGACUGCCGGUGAUAAACCGGAGGAAGGUGGGGAUGACGUCAAGUCAUCAUGGCCCUUACGAGUAGGGCUACACACGUGCUACAAUGGCGUAUACAAAGAGAAGCGGCCUCGCGAGAGCAAGCGGAACUCAUAAAGUACGUCGUAGUCCGGAUUGGAGUCUGCAACUCGACUCCAUGAAGUCGGAAUCGCUAGUAAUCGUAGAUCAGAAUGCUACGGUGAAUACGUUCCCGGGCCUUGUACACACCGCCCGUCACACCAUGGGAGUGGGUUGCAAAAGAAGUAGGUAGCUUAACCUUCGGGAGGGCGCUUACCACUUUGUGAUUCAUGACUGGGGUGAAGUCGUAACAAGGUAACCA